Molecule: long non-coding RNA, 592 nt
Organism: Oncorhynchus keta (chum salmon)
Lineage: Eukaryota; Metazoa; Chordata; Actinopteri; Salmoniformes; Salmonidae
Exons: 3
Source: RefSeq, a predicted model, not a curated record
GCACGCAACUCUCUGAGAUGCGAUCUGGGACGAGACACAAACAGUUGUGCGCUGGUGGUCGUACGGCACACUAAUCUGGGGCGAAGGCAAAGAGCGAGGGUCUAUUUAAUAUUAUGGAUAUUAUUUAAUAUUUACAUAUAAUGGAAUUGGUCACCUACAAAUUGAAUAGUAUGAAUGCAGGUUAUAGUUAUAUGCACUAUUCCCAUUCAUUGACGUUUGGAAAGGAAGCGGAAUAGAAUGCCCUUUUUCUGAAGGACAUUCGACUACAUUUUUAUUAAUGUUCUCACAUAUUUUUCUAAAUCUUUACUUGCCUGCAGAGAAAUGAACAAGACACUGAAUUCAAAUUAAAACAGGGUACAAGUUAAAUCAGCUUUCACUUCUUCAGUGAAGACUCUUCAUCAACUAAUGAUGAGGUUGGAGACCCUCCAAUACUCAGCGAAGGUCAUUUUGAGAGCAGGCUUGGCAGUGCUGGUCUUCUCAGGUCUGCCUGCCCCAUGGUCUAUGUCCAUAGCCUCCUCUGCAUGAUGGCCAUUAGUGCCGUUUCUCCCCUUCACAGCCUCAUCUAUCAAGUCAUUCUGAAAUGGAGAACACA